GGAGGGUGCGAGCGUUAAUCGGAAUUACUGGGCGUAAAGCGCGCGUAGGCGGCUAGGUCAGUCGGAUGUGAAAGCCCUGGGCUUAACCUGGGAAUUGCAUCCGAUACUGCCUGACUAGAAUAUGGGAGAGGGAAGUGGAAUUUCCGGUGUAGCGGUGAAAUGCGUAGAUAUCGGAAGGAACACCAGUGGCGAAGGCGACUUCCUGGCCCAAUAUUGACGCUGAGGUGCGAAAGCGUGGGUAGCGAACAGGGAUUAGAUACCCUGGUAGUCCACGCCGUAAACGAUGAGAACUAGAUGUCGGGAGGAUUUACCUCUCGGUGUCGCAGCUAACGCGUUAAGUUCUCCGCCUGGGGAGUACGGUGGCAACACUA
This 371-nucleotide ribosomal RNA is filed under the name uncultured organism. RNAcentral describes it as "partial 16S ribosomal RNA". It matches the Rfam family "Bacterial small subunit ribosomal RNA", at positions 527 to 896 of the family's 1533-position model. The record is from RNAcentral.